RNAcentral lists this long non-coding RNA (222 nucleotides) under Vigna radiata. RNAcentral describes it as "long non-coding RNA (VRAD_LNC000531)". The record is from RNAcentral. Lineage: Eukaryota; Viridiplantae; Streptophyta; Magnoliopsida; Fabales; Fabaceae.
UUUGACCCUGUACGCCUCAAGUUCAACUUUUAAAUUUUAAUUUUCAUGCAAUUCCCACUCACUUUAUUCACUUAUGCAACAAUUAAGCCCAAAAUGCAACUAGAACAGAAUUAGAACAUGCAAAGGAAACAAAUCAAUCAACUGGAUUGCCUCCCAAGUAGCGCUUGUUUAACGUCACGAGCCUGACCCAAACCUUUCUAGCACCCAUCAGUAGGUGCAAAC